GGAGUCUAGCAUGUGCGCGAGUCAUUGGGAUGCACUAGCUAAACCUAAAGGCGAAAUGAAAGUGAAGGCGCGCCUUGCGCGCGCCCAGGGAGGAUGGGCGACCGCCCUAACCGGCGGAGCGCCCCGCACUCCCGGGGCGUCUCGUUCUCAUCGCGAGAAGAGGCGCACCCAGAGCGUACACGCUGGGACCCGAAAGAUGGUGAACUAUGCCUGGUCAGGACGAAGUCAGGGGAAACCCUGAUGGAGGUCCGUAGCGAUUCUGACGUGCAAAUCGAUCGUCGGAACUGGGUAUAGGGGCGAAAGACUAAUCGAACCAUCUAGUAGCUGGUUCCCUCCGAAGUUUCCCUCAGGAUAGCUGGCGCUCGCAAAAUAACUUUGUGCGAGUCUCAUCCGGUAAAGCGAAUGAUUAGAGGCAUUGGGGUCGAAACGGCCUCAACCUAUUCUCAAACUUUAAAUGGGUGAGAUCUCCGGCUUGCUUGAACAACGCUGAAGCCGCGAGAUCGGAUCAGAGUGCCAAGUGGGCCACUUUUGGUAAGCAGAACUGGCGCUGUGGGAUGAACCAAACGCGGAGUUAAAGCGCCUAAAUCGACGCUUAUGGGAUACCAUGAAAGGCGUUGGUAACUUAAGACAGCAGGACGGUGGCCAUGGAA
RNAcentral lists this ribosomal RNA (650 nucleotides) under Elater sp. UPOL RK0013. Its description in RNAcentral is "eukaryotic LSU rRNA". It matches the Rfam family "Eukaryotic large subunit ribosomal RNA", at positions 670 to 1259 of the family's 3401-position model. Lineage: Eukaryota; Metazoa; Arthropoda; Insecta; Coleoptera; Elateridae. The record is from RNAcentral.